Molecule: ribosomal RNA, 253 nt
Filed under: uncultured bacterium
Lineage: Bacteria
Description: partial 16S ribosomal RNA
Rfam family: Bacterial small subunit ribosomal RNA
Source: RNAcentral
UACGUAGGGGGCAAGCGUUGUCCGGAUUUAUUGGGCGUAAAGAGCGUGUAGGCGGCCAGAUAGGUCAGCUGUGAAAACUCGAGGCUCAACCUCGAGAUGUCGGCUGAAACCAUCUGGCUAGAGUCCGGAAGAGGAGAAUGGAAUUCCCGGUGUAGCGGUGAAAUGCGUAGAUAUCGGAAGGAACGCCGGUGGCGAAAGCGGCGUGCUGGACCUCUUCUGACGCUGAGGCGCGAAAGCUAGGGGAGCAAACGGG